GAGUUUGAUCCUGGCUCAGAUUGAACGCUGGCGGCAGGCCUAACACAUGCAAGUCGAGCGGAUGAAGGGAGCUUGCUCCUGGAUUCAGCGGCGGACGGGUGAGUAAUGCCUAGGAAUCUGCCUGGUAGUGGGGGAUAACGUCCGGAAACGGGCGCUAAUACCGCAUACGUCCUGAGGGAGAAAGUGGGGGAUCUUCGGACCUCACGCUAUCAGAUGAGCCUAGGUCGGAUUAGCUAGUUGGUGGGGUAAAGGCCUACCAAGGCGACGAUCCGUAACUGGUCUGAGAGGAUGAUCAGUCACACUGGAACUGAGACACGGUCCAGACUCCUACGGGAGGCAGCAGUGGGGAAUAUUGGACAAUGGGCGAAAGCCUGAUCCAGCCAUGCCGCGUGUGUGAAGAAGGUCUUCGGAUUGUAAAGCACUUUAAGUUGGGAGGAGGGGCAGUAAGUUAAUACCUUGCUGUUUUGACGUUACCAACAGAAUAAGCACCGGCUAACUUCGUGCCAGCAGCCGCGGUAAUACGAAGGGUGCAAGCGUUAAUCGGAAUUACUGGGCGUAAAGCGCGCGUAGGUGGUUCAGCAAGUUGGAUGUGAAAUCCCC
Molecule: ribosomal RNA, 600 nt
Filed under: Pseudomonas sp. SD12(2010)
Lineage: Bacteria; Pseudomonadati; Pseudomonadota; Gammaproteobacteria; Pseudomonadales; Pseudomonadaceae
Description: bacterial SSU rRNA
Rfam family: Bacterial small subunit ribosomal RNA
Source: RNAcentral